Molecule: ribosomal RNA, 303 nt
Filed under: uncultured bacterium
Lineage: Bacteria
Description: partial 16S ribosomal RNA
Rfam family: Bacterial small subunit ribosomal RNA
Source: RNAcentral
AGCAGUAGCCGCGGGAAUACGAAGGGUGCAAGCGUUAAUCGGAAUUACUGGGCGUAAAGCGCGCGUAGGUGGUUUGUUAAGUUGGAUGUGAAAGCCCCGGGCUCAACCUGGGAACUGCAUCCAAAACUGGCAAGCUAGAGUACGGUAGAGGGUGGUGGAAUUUCCUGUGUAGCGGUGAAAUGCGUAGAUAUAGGAAGGAACACCAGUGGCGAAGGCGACCACCUGGACUGAUACUGACACUGAGGUGCGAAAGCGUGGGGAGCAAACAGGAUUAGAUACCCCGUAGUCCCUGUCUCUUAUACA